This 468-nucleotide ribosomal RNA is filed under the name uncultured bacterium. Its description in RNAcentral is "partial 16S ribosomal RNA". It matches the Rfam family "Bacterial small subunit ribosomal RNA", at positions 28 to 507 of the family's 1533-position model. The record is from RNAcentral.
GACGAACGCUGGCGGCGUGCUUAACACAUGCAAGUCGAACGGAAAGGCCCUGCUUUUGUGGGGUGCUCGAGUGGCGAACGGGUGAGUAACACGUGAGUAACCUGCCCUUGACUUUGGGAUAACUUCAGGAAACUGGGGCUAAUACCGGAUAGGAGCUCCUGCUGCAUGGUGGGGGUUGGAAAGUUUCGGCGGUUGGGGAUGGACUCGCGGCUUAUCAGCUUGUUGGUGGGGUAGUGGCUUACCAAGGCUUUGACGGGUAGCCGGCCUGAGAGGGUGACCGGCCACAUUGGGACUGAGAGACGGCCCAGACUCCUACGGGAGGCAGCAGUGGGGAAUAUUGCACAAUGGGCGGAAGCCUGAUGCAGCAACGCCGCGUGCGGGAUGACGGCCUUCGGGGUGUAAAACGCUUUCGCCUGAGACGAAGCGUGAGUGACGGUAAUGGGUAAAGAAGCACCGGCUAACUACGUG